This 72-nucleotide transfer RNA is filed under the name Camelus bactrianus (Bactrian camel). It matches the Rfam family "tRNA". From Rfam's summary of the family: Transfer RNA (tRNA) molecules are approximately 80 nucleotides in length. Their secondary structure includes four short double-helical elements and three loops (D, anti-codon, and T loops). Lineage: Eukaryota; Metazoa; Chordata; Mammalia; Artiodactyla; Camelidae. The record is from Rfam by way of RNAcentral. RNAcentral also lists the same sequence under 1 other name.
GAGGGUAUAGCUCAGUGGUACGGUGUGUGCUCAGCAUGCAUGAGGUCCUGGCUUCAAUUCCCAGUAUCGUCA